UAGAUCACAACAUUUCUAUGCAACAAUUACACCCAAUUCCUUUACCCACAAAUGUCAAUUACAUUUUCCCCUCUCUACCUCUCACUUCCUCUUUAUGUUCCCCUCUAUCUAUCCAUCUAUUCAUGUGUUGUGUUAGGGGGGUCUUAUUUGGGGAAGCUACUACUCACUUUACACCAGCAAGGUGUUAAUGAAGCAUAAACGUGGACAAAGGAGAAUGAA
This 219-nucleotide long non-coding RNA is filed under the name Physcomitrium patens. RNAcentral's name for it is "long non-coding RNA (PPAT_LNC008114)". Lineage: Eukaryota; Viridiplantae; Streptophyta; Bryopsida; Funariales; Funariaceae. The record is from RNAcentral.